AGAGAGGACCCAUUCUGGCUUAUGUGUCCCAUGGGGUGAAGGUGUUGGGAGCCCAAGGGCGGGAUAGUGCCCCUUGGUCAGCCUCGGACAGGCCUGGCUGAGUGAGGGGCUGGCAGGGACCUGGAAUUCAAUACUUUAGCCCGUAGGCCUGGGAAGGGCAAGAUGAAACCCAACUACACAAAGUGAAACUGGAAACACCAGGCAGAGGGGCCACGUGGGUAUUUCUGGGGACACAGCGGGUGACCAAGAGCGCAUGGAAGGAGGCUGGACGUCAUGAGCAUCAGGGAAAAGCAAAUGGGGGCCAGGAUGUGAGAGCAUGGCACGUUCAGGGGGCAGCUGACGAGAAAGACAGACACUAACAAGUGUCGUUACCAGGACACACUCCUGACACCCAUAACUGCGGGGUUAUCUGGCUCUUCAGUUCAGCUUUGGUGAUUCCAAGGCAGACACAGCCCAGGGCAGGGUCUGGAACAGAGCACAGCUGUGGGCUCUGGUGAGCACGGAGCAGAGAGCCAGACGGGGCGGGACACAGACCCAGUCUACUACCCAGGCCAGCCAGGGCACCCACGACCCCAGCUCUUCCCAGAAGCCCAGCCACUGAGUGUAAUAGCAGAGCUGCCCAUCUCACACAGUUAGCAUCUUCGAAGUGCCCCUGAGGAGCUGUGCAUAGCCACCGACCUGAAGCUAUUCAGACGGAGAAACACAGCGAAUGUCAUUCUGCAGACCCAACAUGGGGAUGCCUAGCUGCUUCAACUCUGAGGCAGAAAACAGCAUCUUUGGAGGCCCUCUGGACAGCCUGCCCCACAGGGCAGGGGUGAGGUCAUCAUGAAGACUCUGGACAGGAGAAAAUGACCCCAUUCCCAGGGAAGACAGCAGCUCAUGCGGAACCUGGGGGUCUGAGCCUGAUACAGUUGCCUUGUGGGGAGACCUGGCUGGAAGUGCUGUGUACUCACAUUUGUAACUCCUGUAAUUCAUCAUCAUCAUCAUCAUCAUCAUCAUCAAUCUGUCCUCUCGGAAAGU
Long non-coding RNA from Fukomys damarensis (Damara mole-rat), 1020 nucleotides. RefSeq lists it as uncharacterized. The record is from RefSeq and is a predicted model, not a curated record. The transcript is spliced from 3 exons. NCBI's taxonomy places the organism in Eukaryota, Metazoa, Chordata, Mammalia, Rodentia, Bathyergidae.